GGGUCACAGCUGCGGGCUGCAGGAGACAUUGCUCCAACAGUGCAGUCAGUACUGUGCAUUCUGCCUUGUUUCUGGGGAGGCUGCCGAGCACUGAGGAGCUCUCAUCUGCAGAAGAGCAGGGGCCUUAAAACUUUGGUGUUGUGGAGAAGUGGGGAUGUUGGUGUUGGAGGAGUCUGCUGGCAUAUCUGUAUAUCUCUUUCCAGGAAUGAAGAGGCCAAAGAUCACUCCACAGAAUUUCUUCAUCCCACAGGAUCCAUUUCUUUACGAGCAAUGUGUAUCUCAAAAAAUAAAGCUGAGAAUGAUCUUGCCUGUCAUACUGAACUGCACAUGAUGGUGAUUUCCGAGCAAGAAGAUACAAACAUAACAGGUAGGAGGGGCCGCUCUGGGACAAGCUAUUUCUGUUGCCAGAACAAUUAUUGAUUCAGUCCUUGAGUGCUCUCAAGUUACGGUAGAGGAAAAAUGUAACUGGGAGUACCUUGUAGCAAUUGUCCUGGUGGUGACAGACUGGUACCUGCUGAUGUCCUUCCUGAGCGCACAAGGAGAGAGCUGUAUGUAGGGCAUACUGGGGAGGGUGAAGUGAACAGGCUGGGCUUUGCAGUGUGAUGAUGCACACUCCUGCCCCAGUGGAGAACAGGCAGAGCUGGACACUGAUCAGCAGCAACUGAGAAAAGGCUCAGGGCUGGCAUAAGAUGGCCUUUGAGGAGCAACUGAAU
This 713-nucleotide long non-coding RNA is filed under the name Coturnix japonica (Japanese quail). RNAcentral describes it as "lncRNA (ENSCJPG00005018908.1)". Lineage: Eukaryota; Metazoa; Chordata; Aves; Galliformes; Phasianidae. The record is from RNAcentral.